CUCCCGAGUAUGAAAAGCUUGGGGCAAGCUUCAAGAAAGCUAAGUCCGUCUUGAUUGCAAAGGUUGAUUGUGAUGAGCACAAGGCUGUCUGUACUAAAUAUGGUGUUAGUGGAUACCCGACCAUUCAGUGGUUUCCUAAAGGAUCUCUUGAACCUCAUAAGUAUGAGGGUCCACGCAA
Non-coding RNA from Camelina sativa (false flax), 178 nucleotides. Lineage: Eukaryota; Viridiplantae; Streptophyta; Magnoliopsida; Brassicales; Brassicaceae. The record is from RefSeq and is a predicted model, not a curated record.